This 69-nucleotide transfer RNA is filed under the name Echinococcus granulosus. RNAcentral's name for it is "tRNA-Glu". Lineage: Eukaryota; Metazoa; Platyhelminthes; Cestoda; Cyclophyllidea; Taeniidae. The record is from RNAcentral.
GUCUGUUUUAGUAUAAUUUGUAUUACGUUGGCUUUUCGUGCUGUAGAUGGUUGUUUAAUUAGACAGAUU